GACGAACGCUGGCGGCGUGCUUAACACAUGCAAGUCGAACGGUAAGGCUCCAGCUUGCUGGGGUACACGAGUGGCGAACGGGUGAGUAACACGUGGGUGACCUGCCCUGCACUUCGGGAUGAGCCUGGGAAACUGGGUCUAAUACCGGAUAGGACCGCACCGUGAGGGUGUGGUGGAAAGUUUUUUCGGUGUGGGAUGGGCCCGCGGCCUAUCAGCUUGUUGGUGGGGUAAUGGCCUACCAAGGCGGCGACGGGUAGCCGGCCUGAGAGGGUGGACGGCCACAUUGGGACUGAGACACGGCCCAGACUCCUACGGGAGGCAGCAGUGGGGAAUAUUGCACAAUGGGCGGAAGCCUGAUGCAGCGACGCCGCGUGGGGGAUGACGGCCUUCGGGUUGUAAACUCCUUUCACCAUCGACGAAGGGUUUCUGACGGUAGAUGGAGAAGAAGCACCGGCUAACUACGUG
Molecule: ribosomal RNA, 465 nt
Filed under: uncultured bacterium
Lineage: Bacteria
Description: partial 16S ribosomal RNA
Rfam family: Bacterial small subunit ribosomal RNA
Source: RNAcentral